This 329-nucleotide ribosomal RNA is filed under the name uncultured Bacteroidota bacterium. RNAcentral's name for it is "bacterial SSU rRNA". It matches the Rfam family "Bacterial small subunit ribosomal RNA", at positions 28 to 351 of the family's 1533-position model. Lineage: Bacteria; Pseudomonadati; Bacteroidota. The record is from RNAcentral.
GAUGAACGCUAGCGGGAGGCUUAACACAUGCAAGUCGAGGGGCAGCACGAGAUAGCAAUAUUUUGGUGGCGACCGGCGCACGGGUGAGUAACACGUAUGCAACCUACCCUGUACAGGGGGAUAACCCGGAGAAAUUCGGACUAAUAUCCCAUAAAGAUAAUGAUGGGCAUCCAUUAUUAUUUAAAGCUCAGGCGGUACGGGAUGGGCAUGCGGAACAUUAGCUAGUUGGCAGGGUAACGGCCUACCAAGGCAGCGAUGUUUAGGGGACCUGAGAGGGUGAUCCCCCACACUGGUACUGAGACACGGACCAGACUUCCUACGGGUGGCUG